AUGCGUCGGGGACGGGGCAACUCGCCACUGAUGGCUGGGCCAAGAAGGAUUACCCGGGUGACGUAUUGCAUUUAUUAUUGUUGCACUUGUCAACUUGAUAAUUUGAUUUCCUGUGUACUUGUAUUCUGCCGAUCCAAGAAGAAUCUCAGGCCUUCUUGUUUUUCUUCUUCUUUUGUGCUUGCUUCAUUUGUUUUACUUAUCUUUUUGCCAGGCUUCAGUAAUCAGACCAACUAUCUGAGUCAUUUAAAAAAUGAGUCCAAAGAACAUUCUUACAUAAACCUUUGUGAGAAGUACAGUAAUUUGGUGGCUAACAUGCUAUCCUGA
This 324-nucleotide ribosomal RNA is filed under the name Triticum aestivum (bread wheat). Its description in RNAcentral is "partial small subunit ribosomal RNA". The record is from RNAcentral. Lineage: Eukaryota; Viridiplantae; Streptophyta; Magnoliopsida; Poales; Poaceae.